Molecule: ribosomal RNA, 253 nt
Filed under: uncultured bacterium
Lineage: Bacteria
Description: partial 16S ribosomal RNA
Rfam family: Bacterial small subunit ribosomal RNA
Source: RNAcentral
UACGUAGGGUGCGAGCGUUAAUCGGAAUUACUGGGCGUAAAGCGUGCGCAGGCGGUUCGCUAAGGCCGAUGUGAAAUCCCCGGGCUUAACCUGGGAACUGCAUUGGUAACUGGCGGGCUGGAGUGUGGCAGAGGGGGGUGGAAUUCCGCGUGUAGCAGUGAAAUGCGUAGAGAUGCGGAGGAACACCGAUGGCGAAGGCAGCCCCCUGGGCUAACACUGACGCUCAGGCACGAAAGCGUGGGGAGCAAACAGG